GCUUGCCGGAGGGCUACCAUGCAGUCGAGCGGUAGAGAGGUGCUUGCACCUCUUGAGAGCGGCGGACGGGUGAGUAAAGCCUAGGAAUCUGCCUGGUAGUGGGGGAUAACGUUCGGAAACGGACGCUAAUACCGCAUACGUCCUACGGGAGAAAGCAGGGGACCUUCGGGCCUUGCGCUAUCAGAUGAGCCUAGGUCGGAUUAGCUAGUUGGUGAGGUAAAGGCUCACCAAGGCGACGAUCCGUAACUGGUCUGAGAGGAUGAUCAGUCACACUGGAACUGAGACACGGUCCAGACUCCUACGGGAGGCAGCAGUGGGGAAUAUUGGACAAUGGGCGAAAGCCUGAUCCAGCCAUGCCGCGUGUGUGAAGAAGGUCUUCGGAUUGUAAAGCACUUUAAGUUGGGAGGAAGGGUACUUACCUAAUACGUGAGUAUUUUGACGUUACCGACAGAAUAAGCACCGGCUAACUCUGUGCCAGCAGCCGCGGUAAUACAGAGGGUGCAAGCGUUAAUCGGAAUUACUGGGCGUAAAGCGCGCGUAGGUGGUUCGUUAAGUUGGAUGUGAAAUCCCCGGGCUCAACCUGGGAACUGCAUCCAAAACUGGCGAGCUAGAGUAUGGUAGAGGGUGGUGGAAUUUCCUGUGUAGCGGUGAAAUGCGUAGAUAUAGGAAGGAACACCAGUGGCGAAGGCGACCACCUGGACUGAUACUGACACUGAGGUGCGAAAGCGUGGGGAGCAAACAGGAUUAGAUACCCUGGUAGUCCACGCCGUAAACGAUGUCAACUAGCCGUUGGGGACCUUGAGUCUUUAGUGGCGCAGCUAACGCAUUAAGUUGACCGCCUGGGGAGUACGGCCGCAAGGUUAAAACUCAAAUGAAUUGACGGGGGCCCGCACAAGCGGCGGAGCAUGUGGUUUAUUCGAAGCAACGCGAAGAACCUUACCAGGCCUUGACAUCCAAUGAACUUUCCAGAGAUGGAUUGGUGCCUUCGGAACAUUGAGACAGGUGCUGCAUGGCUGUCCUCAGCUCGUGUCGUGAGAUGUUGGG
This 1044-nucleotide ribosomal RNA is filed under the name Pseudomonas sp. AMF1310. RNAcentral's name for it is "bacterial SSU rRNA". It matches the Rfam family "Bacterial small subunit ribosomal RNA", at positions 35 to 1079 of the family's 1533-position model. The record is from RNAcentral. Lineage: Bacteria; Pseudomonadati; Pseudomonadota; Gammaproteobacteria; Pseudomonadales; Pseudomonadaceae.